CSSUAGAGUUUGWAUCAUGGCUCAGGACGAACGCUGGCGGCGUGCCUAAUACAUGCAAGUCGAGCGGACAGAAGGGAGCUUGCUCCCGGAUGUUAGCGGCGGACGGGUGAGUAACACGUGGGUAACCUGCCUGUAAGACUGGGAUAACUCCGGGAAACCGGAGCUAAUACCGGAUAGUUCCUUGAACCGCAUGGUUCAAGGAUGAAAGACGGUUUCGGCUGUCACUUACAGAUGGACCCGCGGCGCAUUAGCUAGUUGGUGGGGUAAUGGCUCACCAAGGCGACGAUGCGUAGCCGACCUGAGAGGGUGAUCGGCCACACUGGGACUGAGACACGGCCCAGACUCCUACGGGAGGCAGCAGUAGGGAAUCUUCCGCAAUGGACGAAAGUCUGACGGAGCAACGCCGCGUGAGUGAUGAAGGUUUUCGGAUCGUAAAGCUCUGUUGUUAGGGAAGAACAAGUGCGAGAGUAACUGCUCGCACCUUGACGGUACCUAACCAGAAAGCCACGGCUAACUACGUGCCAGCAGCCGCGGUAAUACGUAGGUGGCAAGCGUUGUCCGGAAUUAUUGGGCGUAAAGGGCUCGCAGGCGGUUUCUUAAGUCUGAUGUGAAAGCCCCCGGCUCAACCGGGGAGGGUCAUUGGAAACUGGGAAACUUGAGUGCAGAAGAGGAGAGUGGAAUUCCACGUGUAGCGGUGAAAUGCGUAGAGAUGUGGAGGAACACCAGUGGCGAAGGCGACUCUCUGGUCUGUAACUGACGCUGAGGAGCGAAAGCGUGGGGAGCGAACAGGAUUAGAUACCCUGGUAGUCCACGCCGUAAACGAUGAGUGCUAAGUGUUAGGGGGUUUCCGCCCCUUAGUGCUGCAGCUAACGCAUUAAGCAYUCCCGCCU
Molecule: ribosomal RNA, 890 nt
Filed under: Bacillus pumilus
Lineage: Bacteria; Bacillati; Bacillota; Bacilli; Caryophanales; Bacillaceae
Description: bacterial SSU rRNA
Source: RNAcentral